Molecule: long non-coding RNA, 652 nt
Organism: Felis catus (domestic cat)
Lineage: Eukaryota; Metazoa; Chordata; Mammalia; Carnivora; Felidae
Exons: 3
Source: RefSeq, a predicted model, not a curated record
CUUCCCAUGGGGCCACAGGGUGCCCAAGUACUUUCCCAAACAACUCUUGUCAACAGUUGAUAUCAGAAUUCUGACCUCUGUCAACCAAAUUAACUGAAAAUUCCUUCCUCUACAACUGACAAGGUUAUUGUCCUACUCCUCACUACCAAAAGGGAAAGCAGGGCCCUCCCUACUGGGUCUGUACUUCAUGCAUAGCAGAGAGACCGGGACCAGCCGUCCCCUCUUGGAGGGGAUGUGUGCCUUCUUGGUUAUUGCUGAGCAUGGGCUUCUGAGUUUACCUAAAUAGACACUGUGCUUAAAUCGGAACUCUAGCAGUUAUCCAUCAGGAGAAAAAGUUGCAGCCUGGGGAUGGUGGAGUGAUAAAACAGAGUCAUCCCUGAGGACCGUAAAGCCAAAACCACCUGGGAGAACUGGCAAAAUUGGCCAUGCCUAGCCUUUAAGUCAUCAAAACUACAUGAUAGACAGUAUAAAAUGAAAACAGAUGAAAUGAAUUUCCACAUGGGUUCUGCCAAGUUUCAUCUUCUCAGUGAGUCCUGAGGAAGUCCAGAAUCCAUUCCCGCAAGUAUGACUGGAAUCUGCAGAAUCUGUGAAUUACUUCUUCAUUCUGCCAACUGACAAACUGCUAAAUGUGCAGGAACACGAGGCAAUGGAA